AGUGAACGCUGGCGGUAGGCCUAACACAUGCAAGUCGAACGGCAGCACAGAGGAGCUUGCUCCUUGGGUGGCGAGUGGCGGACGGGUGAGGAAUACAUCGGAAUCUACUCUGUCGUGGGGGAUAACGUAGGGAAACUUACGCUAAUACCGCAUACGACCUACGGGUGAAAGCAGGGGACCUUCGGGCCUUGCGCGAUUGAAUGAGCCGAUGUCGGAUUAGCUAGUUGGCGGGGUAAAGGCCCACCAAGGCGACGAUCCGGAGCUGGUCUGAGAGGAUGAUCAGCCACACUGGAACUGAGACACGGUCCAGACUCCUACGGGAGGCAGCAGUGGGGAAUAUUGGACAAUGGGCGCAAGCCUGAUCCAGCCAUACCGCGUGGGUGAAGAAGGCCUUCGGGUUGUAAAGCCCUUUUGUUGGGAAAGAAAUCCAGCUGGCUAAUACCCGGUUGGGAUGACGGUACCCAAAGAAUAAGCACCGGCUAACUUCGUGUCAGCAGCCGCGGUAA
This 506-nucleotide ribosomal RNA is filed under the name uncultured bacterium. RNAcentral's name for it is "partial 16S ribosomal RNA". It matches the Rfam family "Bacterial small subunit ribosomal RNA", at positions 29 to 523 of the family's 1533-position model. The record is from RNAcentral.